CCUACGGGAGGCAGCAGUGGGGAAUAUUGCACAAUGGGGGAAACCCUGAUGCAGCGACGCCGCGUGAGUGAAGAAGUAAUUCGUUAUGUAAAGCUCUAUCAGCAGGGAAGAAAAUGACGGUACCUGAGUAAGAAGCCCCGGCUAACUACGUGCCAGCAGCCGCGGUAAUACGUAGGGGGCAAGCGUUAUCCGGAUUUAUUGGGUGUAAAGGGUGCGUAGACGGAGAAGCAAGUUAGUUGUGAAAGCCCUGGGCUUAACUGAGGGACUGCAACUAAAACUACGUGCCUUGAGUACUGGAGAGGUAAGUGGAAUUCCUGGUGUAGCGGUGAAAUGCGUAGAUAUUAGGAGGAACACCAGUGGCGAAGGCGACUUUCUGGACAGUAACUGACGUUGAGGCACGAAAGUGUGGGGAGCAAACAGGAUUAGAUACCCCUGUAGUC
This 440-nucleotide ribosomal RNA is filed under the name uncultured bacterium. Its description in RNAcentral is "partial 16S ribosomal RNA". It matches the Rfam family "Bacterial small subunit ribosomal RNA", at positions 338 to 795 of the family's 1533-position model. The record is from RNAcentral.